Bos taurus (domestic cattle) is the source of this 77-nucleotide non-coding RNA. The record is from Rfam. NCBI's taxonomy places the organism in Eukaryota, Metazoa, Chordata, Mammalia, Artiodactyla, Bovidae.
UCCCUGGUGGUCCAGUGGUUAAGACUCUGUACUCUCAACCUGUGCAGGGGGCCCAGGUUCAAUCCCUGGUAGGGGAU